GAUUCUGUAGUGAAAUUCAUGAUGAGUUGCAAACUCAUAGAUGCACGGUUAAAGUGUGCCGGAAUCU
RNAcentral lists this transfer RNA (67 nucleotides) under Locustella pryeri pryeri. RNAcentral's name for it is "tRNA-Cys". Lineage: Eukaryota; Metazoa; Chordata; Aves; Passeriformes; Locustellidae. The record is from RNAcentral.